UGCGGCCAAGCUACUAAGGGCGUGUGGGGGAUGUCUAGGCGCCAGAAGGCGAAGAAGGGCGUGGAAGACUGCGAAAAGCCCGGAGGAGCUGUCAAACGAGCGUUGAGCCCGGGAUGCCCGAAUUGGCGUGCGCUGAAUCCAUAGGCGUACGUAGCGAACGGGGGGAACUGAAACAUCUCAUUACCCCCAGGAAAAGAAAGCAAAAGCGACUUCCUCAGUAGCGGCGAGCGAAAGGGAAAGAGCCCAAACCGCGGGGACUUGUCUCCGCGGGGUUGUAGGACCGGCAUUUAGAACUGAGUACCUUAGCAGAACUGUCUGGAAAGGCAGGCCAUAGAGGGUGAUAGACCCGUAUGCGACAGGGGAAAGGAACGAGCCGGCACCUGAGUAAGACUCAACACGUGAAAGUGAGUCUGAAUCUACGAGGCCCAUCUCGUAAGGCUAAGUACUCUCUGGCGACCGAUAGCGAACCAAGUAGCGCGAGCGAAAGAUGGGAAGAACCCCGACAAGGGGAGGACACUGAACCUGAAACCACAUGCCUACAAGCGGUCGGAGGGCUAUGCCCCGCAAGGGGAAAGCCUGACGGCGUGCCUUUUGCAUAAUGAUCCGGCGACUUACCGUAACCGGCCAGGUUAAGCUGCUCUGCGGCGAAGCCGAAGGGAAACCGAGUCUUAAAAGGGCGACAAGUCGGGUGCGGUAGACGCGAAACCACGUGAACUACGCAUGGCCAGGAUGAAGUUGGGGUAAUACCCAAUGGAAGACCGAACUCACUAGUGUUGAAAAACUAGGGGAUGAGCUGUGUGGAGGAUUGAAAGUAUCAUCAAACGUGGAGAUAGCUCGUUCUCUCCGAAAUAACUUUAGGGUUAACGUC
This 868-nucleotide ribosomal RNA is filed under the name Gemmataceae bacterium. RNAcentral describes it as "partial 23S ribosomal RNA". It matches the Rfam family "Bacterial large subunit ribosomal RNA", at positions 1 to 883 of the family's 2925-position model. Lineage: Bacteria; Pseudomonadati; Planctomycetota; Planctomycetia; Gemmatales; Gemmataceae. The record is from RNAcentral.